Molecule: ribosomal RNA, 883 nt
Filed under: Bradyrhizobium japonicum
Lineage: Bacteria; Pseudomonadati; Pseudomonadota; Alphaproteobacteria; Hyphomicrobiales; Nitrobacteraceae
Description: bacterial SSU rRNA
Rfam family: Bacterial small subunit ribosomal RNA
Source: RNAcentral
GGGUGAGUAACGCGUGGGAACGUACCUUUUGGUUCGGAACAACACAGGGAAACUUGUGCUAAUACCGGAUAAGCCCUUACGGGGAAAGAUUUAUCGCCGAAAGAUCGGCCCGCGUCUGAUUAGCUAGUUGGUGAGGUAAUGGCUCACCAAGGCGACGAUCAGUAGCUGGUCUGAGAGGAUGAUCAGCCACAUUGGGACUGAGACACGGCCCAAACUCCUACGGGAGGCAGCAGUGGGGAAUAUUGGACAAUGGGGGCAACCCUGAUCCAGCCAUGCCGCGUGAGUGAUGAAGGCCCUAGGGUUGUAAAGCUCUUUUGUGCGGGAAGAUAAUGACGGUACCGCAAGAAUAAGCCCCGGCUAACUUCGUGCCAGCAGCCGCGGUAAUACGAAGGGGGCUAGCGUUGCUCGGAAUCACUGGGCGUAAAGGGUGCGUAGGCGGGUCUUUAAGUCAGGGGUGAAAUCCUGGAGCUCAACUCCAGAACUGCCUUUGAUACUGAGGAUCUUGAGUUCGGGAGAGGUGAGUGGAACUGCGAGUGUAGAGGUGAAAUUCGUAGAUAUUCGCAAGAACACCAGUGGCGAAGGCGGCUCACUGGCCCGAUACUGACGCUGAGGCACGAAAGCGUGGGGAGCAAACAGGAUUAGAUACCCUGGUAGUCCACGCCGUAAACGAUGAAUGCCAGCCGUUAGUGGGUUUACUCACUAGUGGCGCAGCUAACGCUUUAAGCAUUCCGCCUGGGGAGUACGGUCGCAAGAUUAAAACUCAAAGGAUUUGACGGGGGCCCGCACAAGCGGUGGAGCAUGUGGUUUAAUUCGACGCAACGCGCAGAACCUUACCAGCCCUUGACAUGUCCAGGACCGGUCGCAGAGAUGUGACCCUCUCUUC